RNAcentral lists this transfer RNA (69 nucleotides) under Echinaster brasiliensis. RNAcentral describes it as "tRNA-Val". The record is from RNAcentral. Lineage: Eukaryota; Metazoa; Echinodermata; Asteroidea; Spinulosida; Echinasteridae.
CCAGACAGAGCUUGAACAAGCAACUCUCUUACACAGAGAAGAUAUUCGAAAAAACCCGAAUUGUCUUGA